Molecule: transfer RNA, 72 nt
Filed under: Ornithorhynchus anatinus (platypus)
Lineage: Eukaryota; Metazoa; Chordata; Mammalia; Monotremata; Ornithorhynchidae
Rfam family: tRNA
About the family: Transfer RNA (tRNA) molecules are approximately 80 nucleotides in length. Their secondary structure includes four short double-helical elements and three loops (D, anti-codon, and T loops).
Source: Rfam by way of RNAcentral
AGCAGUGUGGCUCAGUGGAAAGAGCAUGGGCUUGGGAGUCAGAGGUCAUGGGUUCUAAUCCCGACUCUGCCA